Long non-coding RNA from Alligator sinensis (Chinese alligator), 957 nucleotides. RefSeq lists it as uncharacterized. The record is from RefSeq and is a predicted model, not a curated record. The transcript has 3 exons. Lineage: Eukaryota; Metazoa; Chordata; Crocodylia; Alligatoridae.
GGAAUGAGGGGCACUGCAGGGAUGGGGGUGGCUGCAGGCUGGGAGUGAGGGGCACUGUGAGUUAACCCCUGCCUGCCCAUGCCUCAGAUGCCCAGCUGCAGCCCAGAGACCCCUGUGGGGCAAAAGGGGUGGAGCCAACUGUCAAGGCAGGCACUGGCCCCGUGGUCACCAGCUGCCCAGGGAGCUGGGGGGCUGGAGCAGGGCAGGGCAGGCUCCUGCAGCCACUGCCCCCCCCAGGCCCUGCCCAAGCCACCAACCAUAGGUUCCAUCACCACCACCCUCUGCAGCCAGAGGAGCUACAAGGCCAGAGUAUCCCACAUCCAGGAGACUGCAGGGGAGAUGGCUGUGCUCUCUGCACCCUGGCCUGCCUCUUCUGCAAACUCAGGGCUCUCUGCUCCCUGGCCCUAUGCUGCGGAAGUGAACCCUGCUGGGCAAGGGCAGGACCAUCAGCUGGGGGAGGUGGGGCCUGCAGUUGCCCCUGGAGCCCAUGGGCUGUGACUCAGCCUGCCUGGAGAUUGCCUUAGAGUGCUGUGGUAUGUUUCCCCAUUUAAGUCUCCUCAUGAGAGGCUCUACCCAUCCCAGGCCCCACCCCCUCUUCAGGGCCGAGCCCUACCAAGGUAGCCUGCGAAUGAAUGAGCCACAGCCUGCUGUGAUGCAUCUGGACACCCCCCUCCCAUCCCCCACCUCAUCCUUUCUGCAUCUGAUGUUAUCCAGUGAAGUAUUACCAGGACUAUGAAAUCGUAGGUGAGGAUGGGAAGAGACUAAGAUAGCAGUAUCCAAAUCAGGCCAUGCCCCUCUGUGACUUCAUUUAACCAGACCAUGCCCUUUCAAACCAUGACAUCAUUUUGUGGCUCAAAUCUGGCCCACCCAGGCAGUGAUGUCAUGCACAGUGGUGUGCCCUGCCCAUAGUGGCUAUGACCUAAUCCUCUGGGCCAAGCCCCACCCCAUUGGCUGUGG